GAUAACCAUAAGUGCAUAACAAAGAUGGGGGGCUCAAUAGUUGUUGCGGAAGUAUCUUAAAAUUCUUGUACAUUGCAAAUACAAAUUGUGAUAAACGUAUCUUUGAUUAAGCGAUCUAUGGACGUUGAUGAGAACAUGAAUGGACAACUACGACCACAUUUUCCAUAUCAAGAGAUUGGAGAAGAAAACCAACAAAGAAUACGCGAAAAUCAACCAAGAAUACCCGAAAAUCAACCAAAAAUACGCGAAAAUCAACCAAGACUAACUAUUGACCAAUUUUUCAUAAAUUUGGCGAAGGAAAUUCCCAAUGAUUGGAAAAAUUUGGCUUUGUACCUUAAUGUUAGUGGUGGGAAAGUUAAACAAAUCGAAAUAGACGAACGUGGUGUCGUCUGGCAAGGAUAUACUAUGUUGAAGUAUUGGUGGGAGUCCCGUCAUAAAAAUAUGCUGUGGUACGAGGAACUGGCAAAUGCUAUUAUUGCUGACACGAACAACAGAGAUCUGGCCCAAAGAAUCAUCACCGAGGGCCAGCAAGUUCGCGAAUAAAAUGAAAAACGUUUUAAAUCGACAUUUUUGUCCAUAAUUUCAACCAUCAUUCAUAGCGUUUCACUUGAUUAUGUAACAAUAAACAAUGAUGCAGGCUAAAAAGAACAUAAAUCUGAAGCUUGUAUAUUUCUUGAACAACUUCCUAAUAUCUCCUGAUGUAAAAUCUUACUAUACAGAUAUUUAGUUACUAUAUAGUUUGCCAGUUUUAGCUUACAAUAAACACCAUUGCUUGCA
Molecule: long non-coding RNA, 777 nt
Organism: Xenia sp. Carnegie-2017
Lineage: Eukaryota; Metazoa; Cnidaria; Anthozoa; Malacalcyonacea; Xeniidae
Exons: 3
Source: RefSeq, a predicted model, not a curated record